Long non-coding RNA from Echinops telfairi (small Madagascar hedgehog), 233 nucleotides. RefSeq lists it as uncharacterized. The record is from RefSeq and is a predicted model, not a curated record. Lineage: Eukaryota; Metazoa; Chordata; Mammalia; Afrosoricida; Tenrecidae. The transcript is spliced from 2 exons.
CGGUCCUCGCCCCACCAGAUGAGCUUGCAUUCCUCUUUGCAGUCUCUCAAUGCACCGGGAUGCAAUUUUGAGCCACAGUCCGCACCCUACUCUCAAUUAGGCAAGUAUACUUACUGUAAUUGUUAUGUCUCACCUCUGUGGUUGGUAUGCUCAAUGUCCUUCACAAAAUAAACGGCAGCAACUUAUUUUUAUGUCAAUAAAAGUGUCUAAUUGUCAUUCUGACCUCAUUAUAA